UACAGAGGCCUCGAGCGUUAGGCGGAAUCACUGGGCUUAAAGCGUGUGUAGGCGGACUUCUAAGUACCUUGUGAAAUCCCACGGCUUACCCGUGGAACGGCUGGGUAUACUGGUUGUCUUGAGCCACUUAGGGGCUACCGGAACAAAUGGUGGAGCGGUGAAAUGCGUAGAUAUCAUUUGGAACGCCAAUGGUGAAAACAACUCGCUGGGGGUGUGCUGACGCUGAGACACGAAAGCCAGGGGAGCGAACGGG
Molecule: ribosomal RNA, 253 nt
Filed under: uncultured bacterium
Lineage: Bacteria
Description: partial 16S ribosomal RNA
Rfam family: Bacterial small subunit ribosomal RNA
Source: RNAcentral